RNAcentral lists this non-coding RNA (30 nucleotides) under Rattus norvegicus (Norway rat). Lineage: Eukaryota; Metazoa; Chordata; Mammalia; Rodentia; Muridae. The record is from RNAcentral.
UGGAGUUGGAAAGAAUACUUUCCCCUGGAC